AUUUAUAUCGAUUCUAUUUCAAUUACUGGGAAAUUAGUUAUUAGCAUUCGUUAAUCGAACAUAUCACAUUAUAUUCCCCCUCCAGAAGCACGACUCUCUGUAUAUGAUGCUUUUAAAUUGUUUACGCGCGUCUUAGCCUCAAGACCACAAUACAGAUUUGUAGUGCCGAACAAGAAAGACAAAAACCCGGGUUUUAAAAAACAAUAACGAAUAUAUUUAAUUUUAUACAUAUAUAAACGUAUAGUGGUCUGACGGGAAUCAGUUAUAAACUUCAUAUCGAAGAGUGAAUAAUCAGCGGAAUGAACAAGUUACUCCUUUUCCUAUCGGCAUUUGUUGCCUUUGUCGCAGCCGAUAUUGAAAAGGACGGUACAGAAUUCUUUAGGGGGGUGCAUCGAAGAUGCCAAGAAGAUCCGAAGACGGGAGUUCCAGAAGAACAAAUCAAACAAAUGUAUCAGGGCCACUGGGAGGCUUGCCCCAAAUUAAAACUACAUAUGGUGUGCAUGUACCGAGGAUUUAAUUAUAUCGACCAAUAUGGAAUUAUAAACAAAGAUCUUCUGAAAUCACAAUGGUCAACCUUAUACAACAAAGAAGAUGUUCAAAAACUUCUUAAAUGUUUGGUUCAAAAAUGUAAUACAAUUGACACCGUAUGGGAUUUGGCAAAAUGUAAACAUGACACUGUUGGAAGCCUUGUUGAACUAGAAACAUUGUGGUAUGAUAAGGGAGGAAAUGACACUGGAAGAAUUGUAACAUGUAAUUAACAGAAAUAUCUUCUCAAUUUAUUUAUUAUAAUUUUUAUAUUAUAUCCUUUUUGCAAU
Molecule: long non-coding RNA, 815 nt
Organism: Aethina tumida (small hive beetle)
Lineage: Eukaryota; Metazoa; Arthropoda; Insecta; Coleoptera; Nitidulidae
Exons: 2
Source: RefSeq, a predicted model, not a curated record